This 513-nucleotide ribosomal RNA is filed under the name uncultured bacterium. Its description in RNAcentral is "bacterial SSU rRNA". It matches the Rfam family "Bacterial small subunit ribosomal RNA", at positions 15 to 518 of the family's 1533-position model. The record is from RNAcentral.
GAUCAUGGCUCAGAACGAACGCUGGCGGCGCGUUUAAGCAUGCAAGUCGAGCGGCAAGGGCCUUCGGGCCCCUAGAGCGGCGGACGGGUGAGUAACACGUGGACAAUCUGCCCCCCGGCCCGGGAUAGCCCAGGGAAACCUGGAUUAAUACCGGAUGAGACGGGACCCGCGAUGGCGGGAUCCGGGAAAGGCGCUGCGGCGCCGCCGGGGGAUGAGUCUGCGUCCCAUUAGCUAGACGGCGGGGUAACGGCCCACCGUGGCGACGAUGGGUAGCCGGCCUGAGAGGGUGGACGGCCACAUUGGAACUGAGACACGGUCCAGACUCCUACGGGAGGCAGCAGCUAAGAAUCUUCCGCAAUGGGCGAAAGCCUGACGGAGCCGACGCCGCGUGAACGAAGAAGGCCGUGAGGUUGUAAAGUUCUUUUCGGGAGGGGGAACAACCGUGGCAGGGAAUGGCCGCGGGAUGACGUGAAUCCCGGAAUAAGCCCCGGCUAACUACGUGCCAGCCGCCGC